RNAcentral lists this non-coding RNA (19 nucleotides) under Arabidopsis thaliana (thale cress). Lineage: Eukaryota; Viridiplantae; Streptophyta; Magnoliopsida; Brassicales; Brassicaceae. The record is from RNAcentral.
GGGGAGGAUACAGUUCGUU